This 356-nucleotide unclassified non-coding RNA is filed under the name fungal sp. Its description in RNAcentral is "partial internal transcribed spacer region". The stretch from base 1 to 46 matches the Rfam family "Eukaryotic small subunit ribosomal RNA", at positions 1786 to 1831 of the family's 1831-position model. The record is from RNAcentral. Lineage: Eukaryota; Fungi.
AAGUCGUAACAAGGUUUCCGUAGGUGAACCUGCGGAGGGAUCCUCACAUAGCAAACGCUUUGUAUACCAAUAUUCAAACUCAACGCGAACCGUAACGUCCCUAUCUAUUGAUGGAUCGUGAGUGCUUGCACUUGUGUGAAGUCAGUAGGAUAGACAAUACCCCCAGAGUUCAUCUCAUCAAAUUCACUUUCGAUGAGUGGACUCGUUUCUAUUCACCAAUUUUUACCUAUAAUGAAUGAAUUGUCUUAUCUUUAACUUCAGAUAGUAAACUGUAUUGAUACUUCGGUGUCUUUAUUGUUUCUUGUUUGAAAUUACGAAAUAAUGAACAACUCUUAGUAAUGGAUAUCUUGGGUCAA